This 257-nucleotide ribosomal RNA is filed under the name uncultured prokaryote. Its description in RNAcentral is "partial 16S ribosomal RNA". It matches the Rfam family "Bacterial small subunit ribosomal RNA", at positions 524 to 780 of the family's 1533-position model. The record is from RNAcentral.
UACGGAGGAUGCGAGCGUUAUCCGGAUUUAUUGGGUGUAAAGGGUGCGUAGGCGGCUUUUUAAGUCAGCGGUGAAAUUUUGCAGCUUAACUGUAACAGUGCCGUUGAUACUGGGGAGCUAGGAUUUGGUUGCUGUGGGUGGAAUGUGUGGUGUAGCGGUGAAAUGCUUAGAGAUCACACAGAAUAUCGAUUGCGAAGGCAGCUCACAAAGCCAAGAUUGACGCUGAGGCACGAAAGCGUGGGGAGCAAACGGGAUUA